AGUGAACGCUGGCGGCAGGCCUAACACAUGCAAGUCGAGCGGCAGCGGGUCCUUCGGGAUGCCGGCGAGCGGCGGACGGGUGAGUAAUACAUCGGAAUCUGCCCUGUCGUGGGGGAUAACCUAGGGAAACUUAGGCUAAUACCGCAUACGACCUACGGGUGAAAGCGGGGGAUCGCAAGACCUCGCGCGACAGGAUGAGCCGAUGUCCGAUUAGCUAGUUGGCGGGGUAAAGGCCCACCAAGGCGACGAUCGGUAGCUGGUCUGAGAGGAUGAUCAGCCACACUGGGACUGAGACACGGCCCAGACUCCUACGGGAGGCAGCAGUGGGGAAUAUUGGACAAUGGGCGCAAGCCUGAUCCAGCCAUGCCGCGUGGGUGAAGAAGGCCUUCGGGUUGUAAAGCCCUUUUGUCCGGGAAGAAAUCGUCUGGGCUAAUACCCCGGGCGGAUGACGGUACCGGAAGAAUAAGCACCGGCUAACUUCGUG
This 484-nucleotide ribosomal RNA is filed under the name uncultured bacterium. RNAcentral describes it as "partial 16S ribosomal RNA". It matches the Rfam family "Bacterial small subunit ribosomal RNA", at positions 30 to 507 of the family's 1533-position model. The record is from RNAcentral.